GAGGCCGAAAGGCGUAGUCGAUGGGAAACGGGUUAAUAUUCCCGUACUUGGUGUUACUGCGAAGGGGGGACGGAGAAGGCUAUGUUGGCCGGGCGACGGUUGUCCCGGUUUAAGCGUGUAGGCUGGUUUUCCAGGCAAAUCCGGAAAAUCAAGGCUGAGGCGUGAUGACGAGGCACUACGGUGCUGAAGCAACAAAUGCCCUGCUUCCAGGAAAAGCCUCUAAGCAUCAGGUAACAUCAAAUCGUACCCCAAACCGACACAGGUGGUCAGGUAGAGAAUACCAAGGCGCUUGAGAGAACUCGGGUGAAGGAACUAGGCAAAAUGGUGCCGUAACUUCGGGAGAAGGCACGCUGACACGUAGGUGAAGUGAUUUACUCAUGGAGCUGAAGUCAGUCGAAGAUACCAGCUGGCUGCAACUGUUUAUUAAAAACACAGCACUGUGCAAACACGAAAGUGGACGUAUACGGUGUGACGCCUGCCCGGUGCCGGAAGGUUAAUUGAUGGGGUCAGCGCAAGCGAAGCUCCUGAUCGAAGCCCCGGUAAACGGCGGCCGUAACUAUAACGGUCCUAAGGUAGCGAAAUUCCUUGUCGGGUAAGUUCCGACCUGCACGAAUGGCGUAAUGAUGGCCAGGCUGUCUCCACCCGAGACUCAGUGAAAUUGAACUCGCUGUGAAGAUGCAGUGUACCCGCGGCAAGACGGAAAGACCCCGUGAACCUUUACUAUAGCUUGACACUGAACAUUGAGCCUUGAUGUGUAGGAUAGGUGGGAGGCUUUGAAGUGUGGACGCCAGUCUGCAUGGAGCCGACCUUGAAAUACCACCCUUUAAUGUUUGAUGUUCUAACGUGGACCCGUUACCCGGGUUGCGGACAGUGUCUGGUGGGUAGUUUGACUGGGGCGGUCUCCUCCUAAAGAGUAACGGAGGAGCACGAAGGUUGGCUAAUCCUGGUCGGACAUCAGGAGGUUAGUGCAAUGGCAUAAGCCAGCUUGACUGCGAGCGUGACGGCGCGAGCAGGUGCGAAAGCAGGUCAUAGUGAUCCGGUGGUUCUGAAUGGAAGGGCCAUCGCUCAACGGAUAAAAGGUACUCCGGGGAUAACAGGCUGAUACCGCCCAAGAGUUCAUAUCGACGGCGGUGUUUGGCACCUCGAUGUCGGCUCAUCACAUCCUGGGGCUGAAGUAGGUCCCAAGGGUAUGGCUGUUCGCCAUUUAAAGUGGUACGCGAGCUGGGUUUAGAACGUCGUGAGACAGUUCGGUCCCUAUCUGCCGUGGGCGCUGGAGAACUGAGGGGGGCUGCUCCUAGUACGAGAGGACCGGAGUGGACGCAUCACUGGUGUUCGGGUUGUCAUGCCAAUGGCACUGCCCGGUAGCUAAAUGCGGAAGAGAUAAGUGCUGAAAGCAUCUAAGCACGAAACUUGCCCCGAGA
This 1421-nucleotide ribosomal RNA is filed under the name Salmonella enterica subsp. enterica serovar Senftenberg. RNAcentral describes it as "partial 23S ribosomal RNA". It matches the Rfam family "Bacterial large subunit ribosomal RNA", at positions 1398 to 2804 of the family's 2925-position model. The record is from RNAcentral. Lineage: Bacteria; Pseudomonadati; Pseudomonadota; Gammaproteobacteria; Enterobacterales; Enterobacteriaceae.